GGAUUAGUCUCGUUGGUGACCAGCGGAGGGACAUUACCGAGUUAUACAACUCAUCAACCCUGUGAACAUACCUAUAACGUUGCCUCGGCGGGAACAGACGGCCCCGUAACACGGGCCGCCCCCGCCAGAGGACCCCCUAACUCUGUUUCUAUAAUGUUUCUUCUGAGUAAACAAGCAAAUAAAUUAAAACUUUCAAAAACGGAUCUCUUGGCUCUGGCAUCCAUGAAUAACGCAUCGAAAUGCAAUAAGUAAUGUGAAUUGCAGAAUUCAGUGAAUCAUCAAAUCUUUGAACGCACAUUGCGCCCGCCAGUAUUCUGGCGGUCAUGCCUGUUCGAGCGUCAUUACAACCCUCAGGCCCCCGGGCCUGGCGUUGGGGAUCGGCGGAAGCCCCCUGCGGGCACAACGCCGUCCCCCAAAUACAGUGGCGGUCCCGCCGCAGCUUCCAUUGCGUAGUAGCUAACACCUCGCAACUGGAGAGCGGCGCGGCCACGCCGUACAACACCCAACUUCUGAAUGUUGACCUCGAAUCAGGUAGGAAUACAUACCUGAACUUACUUAUAUCAAUCAACGGAGGAAGGA
This 579-nucleotide ribosomal RNA is filed under the name fungal endophyte. RNAcentral's name for it is "eukaryotic LSU rRNA". The stretch from base 188 to 341 matches the Rfam family "5.8S ribosomal RNA". The record is from RNAcentral. Lineage: Eukaryota; Fungi.